This 483-nucleotide ribosomal RNA is filed under the name uncultured bacterium. Its description in RNAcentral is "partial 16S ribosomal RNA". It matches the Rfam family "Bacterial small subunit ribosomal RNA", at positions 28 to 507 of the family's 1533-position model. The record is from RNAcentral.
GACGAACGCUGGCGGCGUGCUUAACACAUGCAAGUCGAACGCUGAAGCUCAGCUUUUGUUGGGUGGAUGAGUGGCGAACGGGUGAGUAACACGUGAGUAACCUGCCCCCUUCUUUGGGGUAACGCCCGGAAACGGGUGCUAAUACUGGAUAUUCACUGGUCUUCGCAUGGGGGUUGGUGGAAAGGGUUUUUCUGGUGGGGGAUGGGCUCGCGGCCUAUCAGCUUGUUGGUGGGGUGAUGGCCUACCAAGGCUUUGACGGGUAGCCGGCCUGAGAGGGUGACCGGUCACAUUGGGACUGAGAUACGGCCCAGACUCCUACGGGAGGCAGCAGUGGGGAAUAUUGCACAGUGGGCGCAAGCCUGAUGCAGCGACGCCGCGUGAGGGAUGGAGGCCUUCGGGUUGUGAACCUCUUUCGCUCAUGGUCAAGCCGCAACAAUGGUUGUGGUGAGGGUAGUGGGUAAAGAAGCGCCGGCUAACUACGUG